Molecule: long non-coding RNA, 1461 nt
Organism: Hypanus sabinus (Atlantic stingray)
Lineage: Eukaryota; Metazoa; Chordata; Chondrichthyes; Myliobatiformes; Dasyatidae
Exons: 3
Source: RefSeq, a predicted model, not a curated record
UCUUCUCAAUGCCAAAAUGAUUACUUUCAUGAGAAGAAGAAAAUCAUGGACUUCUCUUAAGCAACUAAUUUUCCUUUUACUCCUAAGCUUUAUCUCAUCUUUAUUACUUACCUAAUUGGGCCCAGGAGUGUACCAGAGCAGCAGGAUCUGGGUCCGAGAGUGAGGAAUGACCAGAGGAUCGGAUGAUUUAAACAGCGGACCAGAUUGAAAGGUUGCAGUGAGUGGUCCACUCAGCAGAGAAGAUAUUGGCUGUCAGCUACCAACAUUAGAAGACCAGCUCAUUGUCAGAGUGAAGAAAAAAAGCAGAAAAAAUUACUGUUGACUCUACCCAUCCUAGUAGUCACCUAUUCACCAAGUUGCCAACAGGAAGAUGCUACAAGACCACGAUCACCAGGACUACACGUCAUCUCAGAAGAUUCUUUCCUGCAGCUAUCAGCUUUUCAGAAAACUCAUUCAGGCUCACAGGAAAACCAGCCAGCACUUUUCAUCUCCCAGGCUGCUUCUUCUGACAAAUGAUGAGUCACCUGUACUUCAAGACACAUGAUGUCUAGGCCCUCACCAUUUGAGAGCAAAAAUUCACCUAAAGUGGUCCUACCAGUUCAAGCAACAAUUGACAAUUGCCACUUUAGAGUCUUCUACAGUAUUGGGAGAUCAUGGAUGCAAAUCAUUCGUUAUCCAUCAUUUCAGGCGUACAUUGUGGUAGGUGUACCAAGGCCUGGGUCAACCAACUCCAAACUGUACAUAGCUUUCUUAUCAUGCAUAUUAGAAUUAUACCAAUCACCUCCAUUACAGUCUCUACCACUUCUUCCAACUUCAGUCAGGGCAUUGAAUAAAACAAUGGUGCUCCCAGGUUAAUAAAUUUUCUGUACUCACAGCUGCUUUCUCAGUCUCCACGAUUCCAUACUUUGCUGGUGAAUGAGAGUUAACUGAUUUGGCAGCUGCUACUGUAGCAGGAGUAGAUUAAUCUGAUUAUUUAUGUGUAACAUAAAUCUGGGAAGCUUCUCAUGUUGUGGGCAGAUGGCAGUGUUGUAACAGUACUGAAAGGACUUGGAAGUUGGGGCAUCUGCUUCUGAAGCACAAGUCUUCACACUUCCUCCUGGGGCGCUGCUUCCGUAGCCUUUCCUGCAUCCACUCUCUCAACUAUGUCCUGACACCAUCUUCAGCAAAUUGAGACUGGCUUUUGUGAUGGAAGGGGAGGGAUCUCAGGAGGAAGCUGAAUGGAUCAUUUACUCUGCACUUUUAGCCAAACGUGCCUGAGACUGUGGAAGUGGCUACCAUGUUGACUUUUCGAAGAUGAGGAGAGUGAAUAUUUUGGUUUUUGGGACAUGUCUUAUGAUUCAGUAAGAAAUGCAGCAAGCACUUCAAUAUAAAAAAAAUCAUUGGUCACAAUUCCACUAAAAACAUCCUAUGUUAUCACACUUACUUAAUUACUUCAUUAAAAUAGGAUAACUGCAAAUGAAA